CACGUAGGGCGCGAGCGUUGUCCGGAAUUAUUGGGCGUAAAGAGCUCGUAGGCGGCCUGUUGCGUCCGCUGUGAAAGCCCGGGGCUUAACCCCGGGUCUGCAGUGGAUACGGGCAGGCUAGAGGUAGGUAGGGGAGAAUGGAAUUCCCGGUGUAGCGGUGAAAUGCGCAGAUAUCGGGAGGAACACCUGUGGCGAAAGCGGCGCACUGGACCAUAACUGACGCUGCGGCGCGAAAGCUAGGGGAGCAAACAGG
RNAcentral lists this ribosomal RNA (253 nucleotides) under uncultured prokaryote. RNAcentral describes it as "partial 16S ribosomal RNA". It matches the Rfam family "Bacterial small subunit ribosomal RNA", at positions 524 to 776 of the family's 1533-position model. The record is from RNAcentral.